This is a non-coding RNA of Podarcis muralis (Common wall lizard), 832 nucleotides long. The record is from RefSeq and is a predicted model, not a curated record. Lineage: Eukaryota; Metazoa; Chordata; Lepidosauria; Squamata; Lacertidae.
UGCGCUGGAAGAACUUGGCCCGGAGGUUCCUCGAGGAAGGACUCCGAAGCGCAAUUCUCCAAGGGGAAGAGAAUUCGCUCGCGCGCUCUCUUUGCGCAGGAUCUGAAGCCGGGAUGAGCGCCCGGACGGUGGGACAGGAAAACGCUGAGUGUGCGAGAAGAAACUACUCGUCCUUCGCGAAUUUAAAGCAACCCCCCCCCAAAAAGCAAUACUGUAUUUUGUUAGGGUGCUGGGACGCGUCUGAGAGGUUUCAGACAAGAAUUCAAGACCUCUACAUCCUCCCUGAAAUGAUGUGAGGAGGGGAGGGAGGAGUAUCCUCAGCAUCCUACACAGCUGGAGGGAGUUUUGUACGCCAUGUGGCCUGAGGCACAAAAUCCAGCGCUACAGCAUGUUCAGCAGGUGGCUGUCAAGACUCUGCCUGAAGCCCUCCAGUGAGGGAGCUCCUCACCCCAGAAAUUGGCUCCAUGAAACCCUAGGAUAAAUUCACAAAGUCUCCUUCGGACAUUAAUCGAAACAAGUCCAGGUUAGGUCAUCUCUCAACUCCAUUCCCAGAAAUCGAAACACUGAGACCUGUUCCACGCACUUCCCCUCAAUAAUAAGUGGCUGAAUAUUCAAUUUCCAUUUCCUAAAGUCUAAACAUCAAAAUUACAAAGUGAACUUCCACAACCAAAGAGGAAAAUGUCGAAAUUAUACAGCCUGCUCCUUGAAUGGGAAGUGAAAGAUGAGGACAGACAGUGACAUCAUUCGUCUCCACAAAGAAGCGAGAGCCAAUCGUCAGAGGUUUCAGGGUCCGAGGGGGUUUCUCUAUUCUGUGUGAAGGACAAUUUACUUC